This 800-nucleotide ribosomal RNA is filed under the name uncultured bacterium. Its description in RNAcentral is "bacterial SSU rRNA". It matches the Rfam family "Bacterial small subunit ribosomal RNA", at positions 8 to 803 of the family's 1533-position model. The record is from RNAcentral.
AGAGUUUGAUCCUGGCUCAGAUUGAACGCUGGCGGCAUGCCUUGCACAUGCAAGUCGAACGGUAACAGGUCUUCGGAUGCUGACGAGUGGCGAACGGGUGAGUAAUACAUCGGAACGUGCCCAGUAAUGGGGGAUAGCUCGGCGAAAGCCGGAUUAAUACCGCAUACGCCCUGAGGGGGAAAGUGGGGGACCGCAAGGCCUCACGUUAUUGGAGCGGCCGAUGGCUGAUUAGCUAGUUGGUAGGGUAAAGGCCUACCAAGGCGACGAUCAGUAGCUGGUCUGAGAGGACGAUCAGCCACACUGGGACUGAGACACGGCCCAGACUCCUACGGGAGGCAGCAGUGGGGAAUUUUGGACAAUGGGGGAAACCCUGAUCCAGCAAUGCCGCGUGUGCGAAGAAGGCCUUCGGGUUGUAAAGCACUUUUGUCAGGGAAGAAAUCCUUUGGGCUAAUACCCUAGGGGGAUGACGGUACCUGAAGAAUAAGCACCGGCUAACUACGUGCCAGCAGCCGCGGUAAUACGUAGGGUGCAAGCGUUAAUCGGAAUUACUGGGCGUAAAGCGUGCGCAGGCGGUUGUGUAAGACAGGUGUGAAAUCCCCGGGCUUAACCUGGGAAUUGCAUUUGUGACUGCACGACUAGAGUGUGUCAGAGGGGGGUGGAAUUCCACGUGUAGCAGUGAAAUGCGUAGAUAUGUGGAGGAACACCAAUGGCGAAAGGCAGCCCCCUUGGGAUAACACUGACGCUCAUGCACGAAAGCGUGGGAGCAAAACAGGAUUAGAUACCCUGGUAGUCCACGCCCC